RNAcentral lists this ribosomal RNA (468 nucleotides) under uncultured bacterium. RNAcentral describes it as "partial 16S ribosomal RNA". It matches the Rfam family "Bacterial small subunit ribosomal RNA", at positions 28 to 507 of the family's 1533-position model. The record is from RNAcentral.
GACGAACGCUGGCGGCGUGCUUAACACAUGCAAGUCGAACGGAAAGGCCCUGCUUUUGUGGGGUGCUCGAGUGGCGAACGGGUGAGUAACACGUGAGUAACCUGCCCUUGACUUUGGGAUAACUUCAGGAAACUGGGGCUAAUACCGGAUAGGAGCUCCUGCUGCAUGGUGGGGGUUGGAAAGUUUCGGCGGUUGGGGAUGGACUCGCGGCUUAUCAGCUUGUUGGUGGGGUAGUGGCUUACCAAGGCUUUGACGGGUAGCCGGCCUGAGAGGGUGACGGGCCACAUUGGGACUGAGAUACGGCCCAGACUCCUACGGGAGGCAGCAGUGGGGAAUAUUGCACAAUGGGCGGAAGCCGGAUGCAGCAACGCCGCGUGCGGGAUGACGGCCUUCGGGUUGUAAACCGCUUUCGCCUGUGACGAAGCGUGAGUGACGGUAAUGGGUAAAGAAGCACCGGCUAACUACGUG